Molecule: ribosomal RNA, 454 nt
Filed under: uncultured bacterium
Lineage: Bacteria
Description: bacterial SSU rRNA
Rfam family: Bacterial small subunit ribosomal RNA
Source: RNAcentral
CCUACGGGUUGCACCAGUGGGGAAUAUUGCACUAUGGGCGCAAGCCUGAUGCAGCCAUGCCGCGUGUAUGAAGAAGGCCUUAGGGUUGUAAAGUACUUUCAGUUGGGAGGAAGGCGUUGAUGCUAAUAUCAUCAACGAUUGACGUUACCAACAGAAGAAGCACCGGCUAACUCCGUGCCAGCAGCCGCGGUAAUACGGAGGGUGCAAGCGUUAAUCGGAAUUACUGGGCGUAAAGCGCACGCAGUCGGUUGAUUAAGUUGGAUGUGAAAUCCCCGGGCUUAACCUGGGAAUGGCAUCUAAGACUGGUCAUCUAGAGUCUUGUAGAGGGGGGUAGAAUUCCAUGUGUAGCGGUGAAAUGCGUUGAGAUGUGGAGGAAUACCGGUGGCGAAGGCGGCCCCCUGGACAAAGACUGACGCUCAGGUGCGAAAGCGUGGGGAGCAAACAGGAUUAGAUA